ACAGGGCAGUCCCGGCGCGCGGCCGUGGGUGUGUUCUGCGGCGUCCUUGUCCGCUGAGGGCGUCCCUUCCGUCGGGCGCGGACUUCAGGCCGUACCCGGGCACGGGCUCUGACGCGCAGUCGCCUGUCUGGUGGCCGCGCGCACGUCAGCCCCGGCCUCGGCGGCCCCUGGCGACGGGUUGGACGCAGCCCGCGGGCGCGGUGGGCAGUGGACGCCGCUGCUCGUCGCCAGUGCUGCGGUAACCUCGGGCGGGGCCCUGGGCGCGCUGAGCCCGGCGGCGGAGCAGGCGGCUCGGGGGUGCAGGCCGCACCCACCGGGUGCCGGCGGCUCGCAGAGCGGAGGCCCGGGUGCGCGGAGAAGCGGGACCGGCCUGGUCGGCUCCGCCGUCGGUCGCGCCUCCCUGCCCCCAUCCUGCCCCGUCCGGGGACUCCUGGACGGACGAGCCCACUCCUCCGACUGCGGGGACCGCGGGGAGACCCGGGGCAGGAUCGAUGGGCAGAACCCGGUCCCCCAGCCCCGUAGCCAAGGGGACUCGAGAAUGGAACGCGACCUGCCACCAAUCUGUACUCUGCUGUCUCUGCUGGCUCUUGUCCACGAUCGCGGGGCCAAGAUAGACCGGAAACUCAUGUAGUUCUGGGCUCUUAUCUGUGGAAAUUCCCAAGCCCUGGGGUGAGUCACAGAUCUCCAUCUCUCUGGGGCUGGUUGCUCGAAAGUUCUCGCGAUCCUUUGGCGGCAUCAUGUUUCUUUGAUAUUGUGUGUUCCUUGAAGUCCCAGCGCUGCUGUGUUCCCACUGAAGUUGCCAUCCCCUCCGCCGGACCUCACUGCCUUUGGGAGACGGAUACCUUCCCUCAGCCCUGCCAGGGAUUCCGGGGCAGCUGCAGACCUUCCGUCCAUGGGCCUUGUCCUCAUUUCUUGCUCCCUCUUGUGGCUGAUUUCUAAGCUCCUGUGCCCUCUCUCCACCCCACAAUGAACCAGGUGGAGUGCUGACCUCCUGCCUUUUGUUUCCCAAAGGUGGUGCCAAAAAGAAAGCUCAAGUUCACGGUCUCUCCCUGACGGUGGAUUUGGGCCCAUCAUCUGCGCGUGCUCACUAGCUGGUUGCCGAGACUCACCCUCACUGCCAGGGAGCUGGUCGCAGUGUGGGGGUGUGUGAGGGUGAGGUGCGUGGAGCACAGUGGGGGGGCGAUGACAGUGGGCCAGUGGGGGGAUCUGUGGGCAAGUCCCUAGUGGCUCAUGGGAAGGCUUUUUGAUGGGAGUGUUGGGGUCCCUUUCUUGCCCGAGAGUUCCAUCUGGGGUUCUCCUAGCUCUUCCUGCCCCCGGAACUCAUGACCCAUACUCUGGAAGGGGCUAGAGGGACACAAGUCACUUUGGCAGCAUCUCACACAGCCCGGGCUCACUCACACAUUCUCAUUUU
Lutra lutra (Eurasian river otter) is the source of this 1411-nucleotide long non-coding RNA. RefSeq lists it as uncharacterized. The record is from RefSeq and is a predicted model, not a curated record. NCBI's taxonomy places the organism in Eukaryota, Metazoa, Chordata, Mammalia, Carnivora, Mustelidae. The transcript has 3 exons.